UACGUAGGAUGCAAGCGUUGUCCGGAAUUAUUGGGCGUAAAGAGUUCGUAGGCGGUUGGCUAAGUCUGGUGUUAAAUACAGGAGCUCAACUCCUGCAUGGCACUGGAAACUGGGCAGCUAGAGUGUGGUAGAGGUCACGGGAAUUCCAGGUGUAGCGGUGAAAUGCGUAGAUAUCUGGAGGAACACCAGUGGCGAAAGCGCGUGACUGGGCCACAACUGACGCUGAGGAACGAAAGCUAGGGGAGCGAAGGGG
RNAcentral lists this ribosomal RNA (253 nucleotides) under uncultured bacterium. RNAcentral describes it as "partial 16S ribosomal RNA". It matches the Rfam family "Bacterial small subunit ribosomal RNA", at positions 524 to 776 of the family's 1533-position model. The record is from RNAcentral.